RNAcentral lists this ribosomal RNA (402 nucleotides) under bacterium. RNAcentral's name for it is "partial 16S ribosomal RNA". It matches the Rfam family "Bacterial small subunit ribosomal RNA", at positions 355 to 776 of the family's 1533-position model. The record is from RNAcentral.
UGGGGAAUUUUGCACAAUGGGGGAAACCCUGAUGCAGCGACGCCGCGUGAUUUAGAAGGCCUUCGGGUUGUAAAAAUCUUUUCUAUGGGAAGAAAAUGACAGUACCAUAGGAAUAAGGACCGGCUAAUUACGUGCCAGCAGCCGCGGUAAUACGUAAGGUCCGAGCGUUGUCCGGAAUCAUUGGGCGUAAAGGGUACGUAGGCGGGUAAGCAAGUUAGUAGUGAAAUCCUAUAGCUCAACUAUAGUAAGCUUUUAAAACUGCUCAUCUUGAGGUAUGGAAGGGAAAGUGGAAUUCCUAGUGUAGCGGUGAAAUGCGCAGAUAUUAGGAGGAAUACCGGUGGCGAAGGCGAGUUUCUGGCCAUAACCUGACGCUGAGGUACGAAAGCGUGGGUAGCAAACAGG